Oncorhynchus nerka (sockeye salmon) is the source of this 1031-nucleotide long non-coding RNA. RefSeq lists it as uncharacterized. NCBI's taxonomy places the organism in Eukaryota, Metazoa, Chordata, Actinopteri, Salmoniformes, Salmonidae. The transcript is spliced from 8 exons. The record is from RefSeq and is a predicted model, not a curated record.
AGUAUCACAGCUGCUAAUGGCUCAAAAAACAUUUCCCCGGGAGAAUCGUCUGAAGUCACCGAACAUUUCGAUCGCAUUUCUGCACAGCUCUUUCUUCCAGUCCCAAACUGGCAAAGGAAAGCAAAGUUUGAUGGACCAGUGAAGGAGAAACUAGAGAUGAAGUAUUCAAGGCACUCCCCACCCCCUUGUACCCUGCUGCUGCCCCCGUCACUCCUGCUACACCGGUGACCCCAGCUGCCACCCCUGAAACUGCCAUGUCCACCUCCAGUAAUACUCAAGCGCCGGACCGCAAGGAAGCUGUUCCCAAAGAGAGAGCUGGACAGCAGGAGUGGCAGUGAGGAGGAGGUGAAGGAAGAACAAGGACCUCAGAAAAAAAGAGCACGGGUUGACAAAACACAGGACAGCACAGAGAGAAGACGGACCAGGCCCAGUACGACCCGUCCAGACCCAACUACCACCCGGUGGACCAUGCCUGCUGGGGGUGGGGACGUUCAACCCCCUUGUCACAAUUCCACACCCCUCUGUUAUAUACCUCAACCUGGGUCGUGUUCACUAGGGUCCCUUAUUCAGCUGUUGCACGUACCUUUGAGAAGAUUGAGGAAGACUGGCAGAUAAGGGGAAUUUAAUAUACCUCUGAAGUUGUGACUGAAGUUUGUUCUUGUAGGACCUGCUGAGCUGUGUUUACCUGUGUCUCAAUCAGUUGGUUCCUGCUUACCUGGGACUGGAGCUGGAAGUGGAAGAAACUGUACUGAUGAAAGCUGUUGCCCAAGCAAUUGGGUGACAGUUGGACAAAAUCAAGGCGGUGGCUGCAGAGAAGGGCGACACGGGUUUGGUGGGGGAGAGUUCCCGUAGCAACCAGAGAAUGUUCCAGCCAGCCAAUCUGACGGCAGGGGGCGUGUUCAACAAACUGAAAGACAUCAGGAACAUGAGUGGGAACUCUGAGUUGUUUGUCUGUCUGAUGUUUACAUGAACAUCCUCAAUGUUUUUGAUACAUUUACUGAUUAAAAACCAGUCUUCUGCUGUCUAGGAAA